This 497-nucleotide ribosomal RNA is filed under the name uncultured bacterium. Its description in RNAcentral is "partial 16S ribosomal RNA". It matches the Rfam family "Bacterial small subunit ribosomal RNA", at positions 28 to 507 of the family's 1533-position model. The record is from RNAcentral.
GAUGAACGCUGGCGGCGUGCCUAAUACAUGCAAGUCGAGCGAACAGACGAGGAGCUUGCUCCUCUGACGUUAGCGGCGGACGGGUGAGUAACACGUGGAUAACCUACCUAUAAGACUGGGAUAACUUCGGGAAACCGGAGCUAAUACCGGAUAAUAUAUUGAACCGCAUGGUUCAAUAGUGAAAGACGGUUUUGCUGUCACUUAUAGAUGGAUCCGCGCCGCAUUAGCUAGUUGGUAAGGUAACGGCUUACCAAGGCAACGAUGCGUAGCCGACCUGAGAGGGUGAUCGGCCACACUUGAACUGAGACACGGUCCAUACUCCUACGGGAGGCAGCAGUAGGGAAUCUUCCGCAAUGGGCGAAAGCCUGACGGAGCAACGCCGCGUGAGUGAUGAAGGUCUUCGGAUCGUAAAACUCUGUUAUUAGGGAAGAACAAAUGUGUAAGUAACUAUGCACGUCUUGACGGUACCUAAUCAGAAAGCCACGGCUAACUACGUG